This 639-nucleotide ribosomal RNA is filed under the name uncultured bacterium. Its description in RNAcentral is "bacterial SSU rRNA". It matches the Rfam family "Bacterial small subunit ribosomal RNA", at positions 63 to 704 of the family's 1533-position model. The record is from RNAcentral.
CGAUCGAGUAGCAAUACUAGAGGCGAACGGGUGAGUAACACGUAUCCAACCUUCCCUUUUGACUGGGAUAACUAAAAGAAAUUUUAGCUAAUACCGGAUGAUAUAUUUAGACGCAUGUCUUUAUAUUAAAAGUUGGGUUUCCAACACAUUAGGAUGGGGAUGCGCCACAUUAGCUAGUUGGUAGGGUAACGGCCUACCAAGGCAACGAUGUGUAGCUAUACUGAGAGGUAGAAUAGCCACAAUGGAACUGAAACACGGUCCAUACUCCUACGGGAGGCAGCAGUAGGGAAUUUUCCACAAUGGGGGCAACCCUGAUGGAGCAACGCCGCGUGAACGAUGAAGGUCUUCGGAUCGUAAAGUUCUUUUAUAAGGGAAGAAUACUAAAAGAAGGAAAUGUUUUUUAGUUGACGGUACUUUAUGAAUAAGUGACGGCAAACUAUGUGCCAGCAGCCGCGGUAAUACAUAGGUCACAAGCGUUAUCCGGAUUUAUUGGGUAUAAAACAAGCGCAGGCUGUCUAACAAGUUUAAAGUGAAAUAACAAGGCUUAACCUUGUUCUGCUUUAAAAACUGUUAGGCUAGAGUAUAUAAGAGAAUGGCGGAACUCCAUGUGUAGCGGUGGAAUGCGUAGAUAUAUGGAAG